GCGGACGCACUUGUUCGGAUCUGAUCGCUGUACAUUCUAUCCUCCACUAUCCCGCAUAUUAACACAGAAAACAAAACACUAAUUUACACAUGCGCACACAGAUGCAUCCUUCUGCUCCACAUUUUGAAAGAGAACCCGCACAUCAGAAGGAAAUAUACAGGGCUGCGCACGCCGAUGAGCGGCGACGCCGACGCUUUCUAUACGAGCUCAUUAAAAGUGGAAUGGGCGGCUCUCAGAGUUAGCGCGAUACAAAGAGAGACAAAGAAAAUGAUGUAUGGGCAGCAGGGAUGGAGACGACAGGGAGGGAGGCCGCGUUGAAAGAGCUGUUUCCCACUCCCAGCCACCUCUCAGAGUUCUCUUCUUCCUUUUUCCUCUUUUUUUUUGCUGAAGUGUUUGCCGGAAAAGAAAAAAUGAGAACAUAGCGAGGGGAACAAGAGAAGAGCAAGAGAGGGUAGCGAAAGCAUAGACGCAUGGCGCAUGAUUACAGGUGUCGGGUCUUUUUUCGUUUGGAUUUCUUCGCCCUCAUGACAGGGGAAGGACCCCUUUGAGUGCGCGGCAUUUCAGGGGUCAGUACCCACUCUGUGUGGAGAGGCCAGGUGGCCCCCUAUCCUAGCCACUGCCGAACCACCCCUGGUGGUGACAGGGCCAGGGUGCCUAGGACGUGGGGAGGUCAGUGCGAUGCAGUGGCACGGAUGCCGGCGGCCAAUCCCUGGACGGCGUGGCGCCGGUGCGACCCGCGACCGUGAGCAUGCUUGCGCCAUCCAUGCGAUGGGCAAGGCGUCAGCGUGAUUCCAACGCGUCUCGCUCGGCCCUCGCACUGCCUGCUGCUGGGGAGGCUGAGUGCCACCCUGCGAGGCGGGUGGGUGGGUAGAGUUUGGGUCAGGGGCCGUGCACAGAUGACUGGGUCGGCGCACUGCUGUGAUGCGUGUCUGCGGCUGCGUUGCACCGCGCGCUGGGUGCCUGUGACAGACCCGGAAGAGUGGAGCUUGGCGCAUGUUGUAUGAAGCAGGAAUGGACACGUGCCAUGGGAAAGAACAAAAGGCUCGUGUGAGAUCUCAAGGAAUCGAGUUACUUUUAGGGUUUUGUUUCGGCACAUGCACAGCGGGUACAACAUCAACCCCUGCAAGUUCAGGUUUUGGAACACAGUAAGUAUUUUCGAAGUGUAGCACAUUCGGUGCGAACAACGGCGUUUUCAUGACAUGUGAAGUACACCUACUCGAGCAGCGCUACGGUGAAGAAAUAACGACAAUGGAAAGGUUAACAGGGGGCCAGAUCUGUGCGUAGGAUGGACAGCUAGCCACUCGAGUCUCAACCUUGGAGAAAGACAUGAAUACCCUCAUUCCAGCAUACAGCACGUUUGGAACCGUUAGUCGAGGCCACUCUACAAGCUGUGACGGCCGUGGACGAGGGUGACAACACAGCGAAGGCCACCCUUGAUGCGUUUGGUGGCGUCCUUCGGCGUCAUGUAGGGGAACUUUGCACAAAGGCCGAGUCGAAACACGGUGUCUUUGUUACGUCCUGCUGUCAAGGUGAUGCGCUUGGCAAACGAGCGGGGGAACGUGGAGGAGACCUUUCUCAGCCACACGUCCGUUAUUCUGAAGCUGCACCACAAAGCGGAGAAGGUACCGCUAACCCCACAGAGACGUGAGAGCGGGUUUUGGACGCAUUCGUCUGACCAAGAAGGUCUUACAAAGCGCGAGGAAGCCACCGGUGUGGAGGGCGCGCUUGCUCUCACGGACGUGAAGACGUGGGGAGGCACAUACACUGAUUUGUCGGGCAAGACUGCAGAGUCGUUUCUUGCGCAAGAAAUUGCCUGGGGGCCUGAUAGCGCCUCAUGAGGGAUUCGAGACGGCGCUACAUUCGCUCAUGUUGUUGGCCUGCAACGCUGUAAAGCGCCCUAGCCUUUUGGAACGGAAUAGCCCAGGCGGACAGUGCCGCGGUGGAGCGAUUGCUCGCUUAUACAUGCAAGAACGGCUUUUCGCAAGUGGCACCACUGGUCUUUGCGGAGCAACACGAGAAUCAACCCAAUGAAGCUCCCGAUGAAGUACUUGCGUGCCGCGGUGCGCAAUCACAAACCCGAAGCAGGAGCUCAGUGCCAUGAGUGUGGAUAACCCGAGCCUGAUUGCAUGGCUCUGUCAAAAGGGUGGGUGUCCCAGGACUGCCUUUGGGGCAGGCCACCGAUUUGCCGAAUCGCCGGGAGGACAACGCGCCGUGUUUCGUGCCAGGGAAGAGGGAGGCUCCGACGGUGACUAUGGUUACAGUUGUGCAAUUGCCUGGCUGAUUGGCUGCUUUGUUUGCUGAAGGUGGCGAGGCUGGCGCAGCUGGUCACAACGGCGGUUCUACGCCAUAGGCGCUGAUGUAGGCUGAAGCGCGGACCGUAGGGUUAGGUUAUUCGGCCCUUUGCCGCGCACGUUGCCGUGCAUUCACAUAUUUUGGGUGAGACACACAUCACCUUUGGAAUUCAUCAGAGGAGACUUCCCGCGGUGCGUGACGGUGGCAGUGGAUAUUGCACGCAUGAAUACACUUCUCCGUAUCCUGGAGGUGCUCCUUGCAUUUCUCUACAUUCGUUUCAAACAUACUCUUGCAGACAGGCCGUCUCGUGGCUUGUCAUCAACCAUGCGAGGCGUAGUUCAGGGCUACUACAAUGAAAAGACAGGAAUCCUUGAAUGGAGGAAAAAAAAGAUAGGUCUUCGUAUUCUUGCGCAGUGUUAUCGUGUGAUUAAGGCGAAGCAUAGCAGCUUGGUAUAUUCUUGAUCAGUGAUAGAAAACUCGCCAGCUGGGAAGAACGAGGCGCAUGUAUUGGAAUGCAUCAUCAUACAAAGAUGUCGUUCGACCUCCUCCUCUCUCUUGUUGCUUUAUACCCCCCUCUUUUGUUUGCUUCCGCUUCUCUUUCAUGUGUGCCGUUGCCUGCCAAUCUGUGUAUAGAUCAAUGUGCAUGGGGUUUUCACGCUCUCACUUAGUUCUCUCUUCCACAGCCUGUUUUUUAUUUUGUUUGAGCUCCACUUCAUUUCGCCUUUUCUGUUUUGAUGCAGCGCAUCUUCUUGCUUUGCUCUCGGCAUCGAUGCUGGCGUCCGACGCACGUGUGUGUUUGUGCGCGUGUGGUCAGCUUGAUCUGGAAUGCGUGCUUGUGAGCUUCGUCUCCCUUCUUCCUCUCCAUUAUGUGGGCCACCAAUCGGGACAAGGAAAAAGCCGACAUGAAGGCCCCGGCUAGCAAAAACGUUGGAGUGUCUCCCCUUCUUUUCGGCACUUUGGGCCACUGCCACGCGCAACUCUUCGAGGUACCGUGGACAGAGGUGUUCGGAUGCUCUCACACUCUUUAUCACCCUUGACGUUGCUCGAACCGUCCAUCGUGCCGUCAGAGGCGGAAAGCGAGCGAUUGUGAGAGCUCUGCACACCGUAUCUUCGCUUCUUCAUGUGACUCCUGCUCGC
Molecule: unclassified non-coding RNA, 3429 nt
Filed under: Leishmania donovani
Lineage: Eukaryota; Euglenozoa; Kinetoplastea; Trypanosomatida; Trypanosomatidae
Description: gene:unknown
Source: RNAcentral